AGUGAACGCUGGCGGUAGGCCUAACACAUGCAAGUCGAACGGCAGCACAGUAAGAGCUUGCUCUUACGGGUGGCGAGUGGCGGACGGGUGAGGAAUACAUCGGAAUCUACUUUUUCGUGGGGGAUAACGUAGGGAAACGUACGCUAAUACCGCAUACGACCUACGGGUGAAAGCAGGGGAUCUUCGGACCUUGCGCGAUUGAAUGAGCCGAUGUCGGAUUAGCUAGUUGGCGGGGUAAAGGCCCACCAAGGCGACGAUCCGUAGCUGGUCUGAGAGGAUGAUCAGCCACCCUGGAACUGAGACACGGUCCAGACUCCUACGGGAGGCAGCAGUGGGGAAUAUUGGACAAUGGGCGCAAGCCUGAUCCAGCCAUACCGCGUGGGUGAAGAAGGCCUUCGGGUUGUAAAGCCCUUUUGUUGUGAAAGAAAAGCAGCAGGUUAAUACCCCGCUGUUCUGACGGUACCCAAAGAAUAAGCACCGGCUAACUUCGUG
Molecule: ribosomal RNA, 492 nt
Filed under: uncultured bacterium
Lineage: Bacteria
Description: partial 16S ribosomal RNA
Rfam family: Bacterial small subunit ribosomal RNA
Source: RNAcentral